This 911-nucleotide small RNA is filed under the name Homo sapiens (human). RNAcentral's name for it is "BCL2L12 variant 7". Lineage: Eukaryota; Metazoa; Chordata; Mammalia; Primates; Hominidae. The record is from RNAcentral.
AUGGGACGGCCCGCUGGGCUGUUCCCGCCCCUAUGCCCUUUUUUGGGUUUCCGGCCAGAGGCAUGCUGGGAGCGUCACAUGCAAAUUGAGCGUGCACCCAGCGUUCCGCCCUUUCUACGCUGGGCCGGUUAUCGACCCGGCCCAGUGCGCAGGCGCGGGAAAGUUGAACUAAUAAAGUUUGUACGAGUUCAGUGGAGGAGACCGCAAGUUGAGUGGAGGAGGCGGCGGUGGGGCCCCGGACCAGGUGCCUCCAUGGCAGGCUCUGAAGAGCUGGGGCUCCGGGAAGACACGCUGAGGGUCCUAGCUGCCUUCCUUAGGCGUGGUGAGGCUGCCGGGUCUCCUGUUCCAACUCCACCUAGGCCCAGCUACUCCAGACUUCUAUGCUUUGGUGGCCCAGCGGCUGGAACAGCUGGUCCAAGAGCAGCUGAAAUCUCCGCCCAGCCCAGAAUUACAGGGUCCCCCAUCGACAGAGAAGGAAGCCAUACUGCGGAGGCUGGUGGCCCUGCUGGAGGAGGAGGCAGAAGUCAUUAACCAGAAGGUGAUGGGCAUCUGUCCCACUCCUUGGCAAGGACAGGAGUUGCGGAAUGCUGGCCUCGGACCCCGCCCUGCGCAGCAAGCUGGUCCGCCUGUCCUCCGACUCUUUCGCCCGCCUGGUGGAGCUGUUCUGUAGCCGGGAUGACAGCUCUCGCCCAAGCCGAGCAUGCCCCGGGCCCCCGCCUCCUUCCCCGGAGCCCCUGGCCCGCCUGGCCCUAGCCAUGGAGCUGAGCCGGCGCGUGGCCGGGCUGGGGGGCACCCUGGCCGGACUCAGCGUGGAGCACGUGCACAGCUUCACGCCCUGGAUCCAGGCCCACGGGGGCUGGGAGGGCAUCCUGGCUGUUUCACCCGUGGACUUGAACUUGCCAUUGGACUGA